AGGUAAGAAGUGUUUUACACGCUUUAGCUUCGAAUUAAAGAAAGAAUUAUUUCCUUACCUU
This 61-nucleotide transfer RNA is filed under the name Proasellus coiffaiti. RNAcentral's name for it is "transfert RNA-R(CGA)". The record is from RNAcentral. Lineage: Eukaryota; Metazoa; Arthropoda; Malacostraca; Isopoda; Asellidae.